CACGUAGGCGGAUAUUUAAGUCAGGGGUGAAAUCCCAAAGCUCAACUCUGGAACUGCCUUUGAUACUGGGUAUCUUGAGUAUGGAAGAGGUAAGUGGAAUUCCGAGUGUAGAGGUGAAAUUCGUAGAUAUUCGGAGGAACACCAGUGGCGAAGGCGGCUUACUGGUCCAUUACUGACGCUGAGGUGCGAAAGCGUGGGGAGCAAACGA
Molecule: ribosomal RNA, 208 nt
Filed under: uncultured bacterium
Lineage: Bacteria
Description: partial 16S ribosomal RNA
Rfam family: Bacterial small subunit ribosomal RNA
Source: RNAcentral